AUUGAACGCUGGCGGCAGGCUUAACACAUGCAAGUCGAGCGGGGUGAUGGUGCUUGCACUAUCACUUAGCGGCGGACGGGUGAGUAAUGUUUAGGAAUCUGCCUAUUAGGGGGGGACAACAUAUCGAAAGGGAUGCUAAUACCGCAUACGUCCAUCGGGAGAAAGCAGGGGAUCACUUGUUACUCUGCGCUAAUAGAUGAGCCUAAGUCGGAUUAGCUAGUUGGUGGGGUAAAGGCCAGCCAAGGCGACGAUCUGUAGCGGGUCUGAGAGGAUGAUCCGCCACACUGGGACUGAGACACGGCCCAGACUCCUACGGGAGGCAGCAGUGGGGAAUAUUGGACAAUGGGGGGAACCCUGAUCCAGCCAUGCCGCGUGUGUGAAGAAGGCCUUAUGGUUGUAAGGCACUUUAAGCGAGGAGGAGGCUCUUUUGGUAAAUACCCAAGAUGAGUGGACGUUACUCGCAGAAUAAGCACCGGCUAACUCUGUGCCAGCCGCCGCCGUAA
This 503-nucleotide ribosomal RNA is filed under the name uncultured bacterium. Its description in RNAcentral is "partial 16S ribosomal RNA". It matches the Rfam family "Bacterial small subunit ribosomal RNA", at positions 30 to 523 of the family's 1533-position model. The record is from RNAcentral.